AUUGAACGCUGGCGGCAUGCCUUACACAUGCAAGUCGAACGGUAACAGGUCUUCGGAUGCUGACGAGUGGCGAACGGGUGAGUAAUACAUCGGAACGUGCCCGAGCGGGGGGGAUAACGAAGCGAAGGCUUUGCGAAUACCGCAUAAGAUCUAAGGAUGAAAGGAGGGGACCGAAAGGACUUGCGCGAACGCAGUGGCCGAGGGCAGAUUAGGGAGUUGGUGGGAUAAAAGCUUACCAACCCGACGAUCUGUAGCUGGUCUGAGAGGACGACCAGCCACACUGGGACUGAGACACGGCCCAGACUCCUACGGGAGGCAGCAGUGGGGAAUUUUGGACAAUGGGCGAAAGCCUGAUCCAGCCAUGCCGCGUGCAGGAUGAAGGCCUUCGGGUUGUAAACUGCCCUUGUACGGAACGAAAAGACUCUUUCUAAUAAAGAGGGUCCAUGACGGUACCGUAAGAAUAAGCACCGGCUAACUACGUGCCAGCCGCCGCAGUAA
This 498-nucleotide ribosomal RNA is filed under the name uncultured bacterium. Its description in RNAcentral is "partial 16S ribosomal RNA". It matches the Rfam family "Bacterial small subunit ribosomal RNA", at positions 29 to 523 of the family's 1533-position model. The record is from RNAcentral.